GGCGGCAGGCCUAAUACAUGCAAGUCGAGGGGUAUAUUUCUUUCGGGAGAUAGAGACCGGCGCACGGGUGCGUAACACGUAUGCAACCUGUCCACUACUGGGGGAUAGCCCGGGGAAACUCGGAUUAAUACCCCAUAACACAGUGAAAUCGCAUGGUUUGAUUGUUAAAGAGUUAUCGGUAGUGGAUGGGCAUGCGUCCGAUUAGCUAGUUGGUAGUGUAACGGACUACCAAGGCGACGAUCGGUAGGGGGUCUGAGAGGAUGAUCCCCCACACUGGUACUGAGAUACGGACCAGACUCCUACGGGAGGCAGCAGUAGGGAAUAUUGGGCAAUGGAGGCAACUCUGAUCCAGCCAUGCCGCGU
Molecule: ribosomal RNA, 363 nt
Filed under: freshwater obligate oligotroph IO-95
Lineage: Bacteria; Pseudomonadati; Bacteroidota
Description: bacterial SSU rRNA
Rfam family: Bacterial small subunit ribosomal RNA
Source: RNAcentral